This 82-nucleotide ribosomal RNA is filed under the name Planococcus sp. ISL-109. RNAcentral describes it as "partial 16S ribosomal RNA". It matches the Rfam family "Bacterial small subunit ribosomal RNA", at positions 1 to 82 of the family's 1533-position model. Lineage: Bacteria; Bacillati; Bacillota; Bacilli; Caryophanales; Caryophanaceae. The record is from RNAcentral.
AUAAUGGAGAGUUUGAUCCUGGCUCAGGACGAACGCUGGCGGCGUGCCUAAUACAUGCAAGUCGAGCGGAACCAUUGGAGCU